ACAGGGUCCUGACCAAAGGAUGUUCCUAGACUCAGCCUCAGGUGCCCUCCCUGGUCCCCAUGGGUGUCUCCUGGCCAUGAGAGUUGCCCCAACGUGUUUGCAGAGGGUCAGGAGAUCCUGCUGCUCCUGCCCACGCUGGAGGCAGCAAUGUCCGUGAGGUUCCUGUGGGUGCGAACGCGACUGGUCAUGUUGCCGGGGCCAUGCGCUGUCUGCGGCGGGCUGUAGAGCCAGUUCUGCUCCGAAAGUGGGACUGGGGAGGAGACCGCAACACUCAAAUACCCAGAACCGCGGGCAGCRAGGCACCGAGGAGGCCACCUGCCCUCUCCCGCUCCAGGUGUGACGGUCUCGUGCCCGGGAGCCGGCGGCUGCUGCGAAAUGUCGACGAUCCUGAAAUGGUUUGGACGGGAAGAUAAAGACAACAGAGAGAGGGGAAAGGACAAGGAGGAGGAGAAAGAAAAAGAGGAGAAAGAAAAAGAGGAGGACAAGAAGAAAAGGAAGAAGAAGAAGCAGGAAAAGGGAGACAGGGAGGCGGCGGGCAGGAGCAGCAGCAGCUCCGGCAGCGAUUCGGAGGAGGACCGUGGCAGYGACAAGGAGGAUGAGAAGGAAGAUGAAGAUUAG
This 618-nucleotide long non-coding RNA is filed under the name Apteryx rowi (Okarito brown kiwi). RNAcentral's name for it is "lncRNA (ENSARWG00000015566.1)". Lineage: Eukaryota; Metazoa; Chordata; Aves; Apterygiformes; Apterygidae. The record is from RNAcentral.